AAAGGUGUUUAAACUAAAUUCAUAAACAAAUAAUAUUAGUCCACGUAAAACAAGCUUCAAAAUAAAAGACAAACAAUAUAUCAAAGCUUGUAAGUAAAGGUUAGCCAAUAUAUCCAAACAAUAUAAUUAAGACUCGAAAAGAGGAAAAUUAAGAAAUAUUGGACUCCUAAUUUGCGAGGCUCCAAGCGUUGCGAUGAUCCUAAUUUGCUGUUGGCCUAAUACUUUAGGCCAAUAACGAGUUCCAAAGUAGAAACUCCAGCCCUCCGGUUGUACAUGAAACAUAAUAAAAGAGAUAAGAGGAUUAGAAUACAUAAAUUAUGAAAUGAAGCAUAAAAUGAUUGUAGCAUAUAAAAAUGAUUAUCAAAUCUUGAUCCAGUUAAUUUGAUCAAAAUCUCCACUCCUGAGCGUGCAAAACAAACGUUUGAGGGGGUGGGAUAUAUGACACAACGCACACUCUUUAGUCGAUCCUAAAAUGUAUACAUGAACACAAUCUAUUCAACCUAAAAAAUAAAUAGCUUAACCGAAUCCUAAAAAACGAGAUAAGGAAUAAGAAAAUACCAUAUUUUGACUACGUAGCUUUAAGAUUAAAAUAUGAAUUCAAACUAAAGAAGUAAAGCUUCAUAUACAUAGAAACUCUCCAACUAGAUUAUUUUAUUUUAUUUUAAUAUGGUUUAAUCAAAGAACAAAUGUUUUUUCUUUUUAAAGAGGAUUUGAAUAUAACAAGAGUAUACUGACUUGGUGGUAACUUGAAGGUUAUUAACAUUAAUCUCAUUGCAAACCAACAAUAGAAAAUGAUCAAAGCCAAACUUAAACAAAGAAAAUCUGAAGUUAUGUUAAAUAAGAAUGAAAAAAAAUGAAUUGGUUGCAAUCUAAAAAUAAUAAAAACUAUGCAUUCUGAUUCAUCUUAUUUUGCACACAUGAGAGAAUAAUUUGCAUGAUCAAACGUAUUUUAAAUUCAAGGAGAUUGUUUUCUUCUAAUAGUGUAUGAA
This 989-nucleotide long non-coding RNA is filed under the name Solanum tuberosum (potato). Its description in RNAcentral is "long non-coding RNA (STUB_LNC010987)". The record is from RNAcentral. Lineage: Eukaryota; Viridiplantae; Streptophyta; Magnoliopsida; Solanales; Solanaceae.